This 329-nucleotide unclassified non-coding RNA is filed under the name Hevea brasiliensis (rubber tree). The record is from RNAcentral. Lineage: Eukaryota; Viridiplantae; Streptophyta; Magnoliopsida; Malpighiales; Euphorbiaceae.
GCAGGGUAGACUCACAAACUAAGCGCCUAUAAAAAUAUUCCACAACAUCCUAAAAGACAGCAACUGCAAAAGAUGGCCUCUUCAAGGUUUCUGUUCUUCCUAUGCUGUCUCCUUUCCACACAAACUGUGCCCCUGAUCACCCUAGCCCAGCCUGCCAUGUUGUACCAUGACUGUUUACCAGGAAAGGGUAACUACUCAGCCAAUAGUUCCUACCAGGAAAACCUGAAUCAACUCCUCACUUCCAUCUAUACUAACACCGAAAUAGAUUCCGGGUUCUACAAUCUCUCUCAUGGACAAGACCCUGACAAAGUUUAUGCGAAUGGUCUUUG